UACGAAAUGUGCAAACGUUAUUCGGAAUCACUGGGCUUAAAGGGUGCGUAGGCGGCUUGUUAAGUAGGGUGUGAAAUCCCCCGGCUCAACCGGGGAAUUGCGCCCUAAACUGGCGAGCUGGAGUGAGAUAGGGGUGUGUGGAACUUCCAGUGGAGCGGUGAAAUGUGUUGAUAUUGGAAGGAACGCCAGUGGCGAAAGCGACACACUGGGUCUCAACUGACGCUGAGGCACGAAAGCCAGGGGAGCAAACGGG
This 253-nucleotide ribosomal RNA is filed under the name uncultured bacterium. RNAcentral describes it as "partial 16S ribosomal RNA". It matches the Rfam family "Bacterial small subunit ribosomal RNA", at positions 524 to 776 of the family's 1533-position model. The record is from RNAcentral.